Molecule: ribosomal RNA, 220 nt
Filed under: uncultured Glomus
Lineage: Eukaryota; Fungi; Glomeromycota; Glomeromycetes; Glomerales; Glomeraceae
Description: partial small subunit ribosomal RNA
Rfam family: Eukaryotic small subunit ribosomal RNA
Source: RNAcentral
CCAAUAGCGUAUAUUAAAGUUGUUGCAGUUAAAAAGCUCGUAGUUGAAUUUCGGGAUCAAUUUAUUGGUCGUGCCAAUGGUACGCACUGGUACAAUUGGUUUCUCCCUUCUGACGAAGCAUGAUGUCAUUAACUUGGUGUCGUGGGGAAUCAGGACUGUUACUUUGAAAAAAUUAGAGUGUUUAAAGCAGGCUUUGGCUUGAAUACGUUAGCAUGGAAUA